CAGAAUCUUCAGCAAUAAUCCGCUUGUGUCCAGUCGUGUCCGGAUAUUCUGAUAAACACAGAACGUAUAGGAUGGGAUUCGGCGAGUGUUCUCUCAAGAGGGAACUCGUUGCUAUAUAUACACGCGCCGCAAUUAUACUUCCAGUUUUCCUUCUUACGGUCAAUCGAACCUAUGUCCGCAACUUGCGUGUUGCAUUAUGAUUGUGAAGCAAUGUUACGUAACAUGAAGAUAAAGAAAAUAACAUGAAGAUAAACAAAAUAAAUAGAUAAAACAAAA
Molecule: long non-coding RNA, 276 nt
Organism: Monomorium pharaonis (pharaoh ant)
Lineage: Eukaryota; Metazoa; Arthropoda; Insecta; Hymenoptera; Formicidae
Exons: 2
Source: RefSeq, a predicted model, not a curated record